CAGAGGUCUGCUGCACAGACUUACUUUUAUUUUUCAAUGGACGAAAUAGACCUAAGACUCUUAGAGUCCAGCCCAUCUAUUGGGGCUGAUCUCCUGGCACAGAGAAGAUCAUGAAUCACUGCCACAUGGAAAAAGCAAAAGAAUAUUUAACGGGCAACUUGACCUCUGGUCAGAACAUCCCAAACAGUUGAGAGCAAGGACAGAGCCUUUGGUAUUAAAUGCCUCUGAACUGAAAGGGCGGGAAGGCAGUGUUCCGGCUCUUGUGCUUCGGACAUGGAGCAACUUCUUUUAACCACUUGUCACAGGCUACGUGGGCAGCUCGUGCGUUCUGGAAUUUCUGAGGGAGACUUACCAAGUGCUUUCUGCUGAGACUGACGCAGCCAAGCGGGGGCAUCUGCGUGCCAGGAAUAUAUGGUUGCGUGUGUGCCACUGUUUAUCUGUUUGCAAAAUGUGCCAUAUGUUGACAGCCUAACAUAUGUCGAGCUAUAUGGAAGAUUAGUCAGAGAGAAAGAAGAGCCAGAAUAUGAGAAAGAGAGGGAGAAGAGGAAAUAUGAAAGUGAAAACAAACCCCAGUGACUGGCGAGAUGAUGAAUUCUUUGAGCUUGAGGGGUAUAUCUAGGUUACUUUUAAUCCCUACUGCCUGCAGUUUUGCUGGGCACGUAGGAGAUGCUUAGUUAGUAUAUCCUGAGAAGGAAAAGAGCCCAUGCAAGGUGCCUAGAACCAUGUCUCCUAUCACAGAUGGUGCAUGGCAAGUGUAGAUUGAAUGAAUGCAUGAGAGAAUGUUUAGAGCUAGAAAAACCCUCGGAGUUUCAUUGUAUCACUCUUUUACAGAUAAAACUGCAUCUUGGAGGAGCAUGAGAAUAAUGGCAGCCAGGCCAGCCUUGGGGCCUGGGUGCUGGAGCUGGAGCUGGAGCUUGGGUCCUGGGGUAUCAUCUACCACCUUCUUUGCCACACGGCUCUCACUGCUGGCGUCUGGACCCCACGUGUUGCUGCUGCAGCCGCCCUUGGCGCUGUCGGGAUUCUCAUCACAAGCCAAGGCCCCAUGCACCUGGAAGACAUUUGAACUCCUGCGCUGUUGA
Molecule: long non-coding RNA, 1079 nt
Filed under: Sus scrofa (pig)
Lineage: Eukaryota; Metazoa; Chordata; Mammalia; Artiodactyla; Suidae
Description: lncRNA (ENSSSCG00045019825.1)
Source: RNAcentral